RNAcentral lists this ribosomal RNA (468 nucleotides) under uncultured bacterium. RNAcentral describes it as "partial 16S ribosomal RNA". It matches the Rfam family "Bacterial small subunit ribosomal RNA", at positions 28 to 507 of the family's 1533-position model. The record is from RNAcentral.
GACGAACGCUGGCGGCGUGCUUAACACAUGCAAGUCGAACGGAAAGGCCCUGCUUUUGUGGGGUGCUCGAGUGGCGAACGGGUGAGUAACACGUGAGUAACCUGCCCUUGACUUUGGGAUAACUUCAGGAAACUGGGGCUAAUACCGGAUAGGAGCUCCUGCUGCAUGGUGGGGGUUGGAAAGUUUCGGCGGUUGGGGAUGGACUAGCGGCUUAUCAGCUUGUUGGUGGGGUAGUGGCUUACCAAGGCUUUGACGGGUAGCCGGCCUGAGAGGGUGACCGGCCACAUUGGUACUGAGAUACGGCCCAGACUCCUACGGGAGGCAGCAGUGGGGAAUAUUGCACAAUGGGCGGAAGCCUGAUGCAGCAACGCCGCGUGCGGGAUGACGGCCUUCGGGUUGUAAACCGCUUUCGCCUGUGACGAAGCGUGAGUGACGGUAAUGGGUAAAGAAGCACCGGCUAACUACGUG